AAUACGGGGGGGGGCAAGCGUUGUUCGGAAUUACUGGGCGUAAAGGGCUCGUAGGUGGCCAACUAAGUCGGAUGUGAAAUCCCCAGGCUCAACCUGGGAACUGCGUCCGAUACUGGAUGGCUUGAAUUCGGGAGAGGGAUGCAGAAUUCCAGGUGUAGCGGUGAAAUGCGUAGAUAUCUGGAGGAAUACCGGUGGCGAAGGCGGCAUCCUGGACCGAGAUUGACGCUGAGGAGCGAAAGCCAGGGGAGCAAACGG
This 255-nucleotide ribosomal RNA is filed under the name uncultured prokaryote. RNAcentral's name for it is "partial 16S ribosomal RNA". It matches the Rfam family "Bacterial small subunit ribosomal RNA", at positions 522 to 775 of the family's 1533-position model. The record is from RNAcentral.